Molecule: ribosomal RNA, 460 nt
Filed under: uncultured bacterium
Lineage: Bacteria
Description: partial 16S ribosomal RNA
Rfam family: Bacterial small subunit ribosomal RNA
Source: RNAcentral
CCUACGGGAGGCAGCAGUGAGGAAUAUUGGUCAAUGGCCGGAAGGCUGAACCAGCCAUGCCGCGUGAAGGUCAGUGCCCUAUGGGCGUUAAACUUCUUUUGUGCGGGAGCAAUAAUGGUCACGUGUGGCCAGACGAGAGUACCGUACGAAUAAGCAUCGGCUAACUCCGUGCCAGCAGCCGCGGUAAUACGGGGGAUGCAAGCGUUAUCCGGAUUUAUUGGGUUUAAAGGGUGCGUAGGCUGUGAGGUAAGUCAGCGGUGAAAUGCCCCCGCUCAACGGGGUGAAGUGCCAUUGAUACUGCCAUGCUGGAAUGCGAAUGAGGUGGGAGGAAUGUGUGGUGUAGCGGUGAAAUGCAUAGAUAUCACACAGAACACCGAUUGCGAAGGCAUCUCACGAAUCCGCGAUUGACGCUGAUGCACGAAAGCGUGGGUAUCAAACAGGAUUAGAUACCCGGGUAGUC